CCUGUCGCCCCUCAGAGCCCUGAGGCGGGCGGGAGCCGUGAGGGGGCACCUGGGGCAGCGCCCGGCGAGGUGGGAAUGGCGCCAGCGCCCGGCACCAUCGUCCUCCGUCCCCCUCAGCGCCUGCGGCCGCCUCCACACCCCGUGCCCUGAGAGGGGAGGCAUGAGGGAGAGAACGCUGUGUCCCCUCCGCGUCCCCUCGGACACCUUCGCGGUGAGGUGGGCUCAGCCCUGCAGACAGAAAGCGGACAAAGAAUCCCCCGAGUGCAGCCACUGACUCCGAUUUCUAUUAUCUCAACACCCACUUUGUUCCCUAUGGUCAUCACUUUCUAAAAACUGGGACAAAAACAUCUCUCCAAGAGGCUGGCGGAUGCUUUUGGCACAUCUAGGCAGUGCCAGGACUCCAUUCCAGCCUAACAAAGCAUCAGCCACAUAGAAGCGUACUUCCUGCAGAUUUCAGAGCACUUAAAAUCACCUCAGACCACUUAACUUCACAGAGAUAAAAUCUUCUCACUGCAGUGGCACUAUGUGCCGCAUUAGACCUUAUUGCUAGGAGAGGGAACUUUAACAUGAAAACAAACCCCUUAAUGUUAUCCUUAAAAAAAAAAAAAACAAACAAAACAUUAAAAUCUUAGAAGAGCCCAAAAUGCAAUUCAAGCACCCAGAGAUCACCAAUGGCCACACGUGUGCACGCUGUGCUGCAGCCUGUGAUACUGCGUUGUGUCCUCAGUGACUCGCAGCAUCAUUUCAAACCCAUCAGCAUGCCAGGAGCUGCUUUAAGGGAGAUGCCAACAGUUUUCACCAUUGCUCUUUCCUCUUUUUCCCUUCCCCACCCUCCCCCAAAGAGCCAGCUUUCACACAAAACCCGUUUUUCUUCAGGUUGCUCUGAAGAAGAUGCUGUUUUGACAGACUCGUGCAUUUUCCCUCUCGCGAGUUCAUGGAAGCCCUGCCAAAGAAAGUGAUAUAUGGCCAGAAAGAGACCCUCAACCUCACCCUAAUUAGAAGCCUUCACUAUUCAGCAGGGUUUCAAGAGGACAGAAGCCUGAGGCAGCUGGAUGGGAAUACGAACCAUACCAUGCUCCAGCAGCUUUCUCAUAUUCAUCCAGUGACCGAGAUCCAUCUGUUUAUCAUCAGCUGCAUUACAGUCGGAGACAAAGUGUAUUGUUAAUAGGGUGUGUUUGAGAGAAAAGUCACAAGGAAGUGCCCUAAACUAAGUGAUUUCUGAAAGUAAUGGCUACGGAGCACAUACCACACAGUAGCACAGUGCUAAUGGAUAUUUUUCUUCAGUCAUGGCCAUUAACUGUGUGGUUCUGCCAGAAAGAUCCAAAAAUAAAAUAGAAGGGGUGGCAAAGCACCUUAUCUAGAUAAGAUAUUUCAGUUUCUAAUUAGUUCUAUCUUUGAUUCCUUUUUCUUGUGAGGAAGACAGGAUUGGUCAUACAUUAUCAGUAGAACAGCUCCUUUUGGCCACAAGCUUGUCCCUGACACUAACAUUGGACAAUGCUUCAGAGCAUGCUGAACGUUCUCCAAGAAACAUGAUUACAUAAACCAGUUCCAAAGCAUUAAUUAGUUUGCUUCAUCACCCUCACUCAAGUUCCUGUCUCUAAAAUAACAAGUCAUGAAUUAUCACAUAUGACUGUUAAAAUAUAUGAGUGGCUAUUAUCACAUACUGCAUGUUGUCUAGAAGCUGGGGGUUGUGCUUUUAGGGCCAUAAUCCUGUUCUGUUCAGCACUGUAUGGAAAGGAGAAGCAACCAGGACACACCACCACAUUUUCACUAAGGCACUGUGAAAAUGCAGCUGACCUGAUGCCACCGAGAGACAUCCCACACAGAGUUUGGAGACUGGAUCAGUGGAGAGCAACAGAUUCCCUGCUGCUGAAAAAGCACUCAGUGGCCAUCAAAAAGCCCAGUGAAGAUGAGCAACAGAGGACAAGGACAUCCUUCCAUCUGCUCCCGCUCUGGAGCAGAGGUACAUCCAAAAUGCUGCAGCUCUGCAAUCCUUCUCUCCUUCUGGGACAGUUUCUGUGGUAAGAUUUACAGCCUAAAAGGUAUCACUGAAGUCAUAACUACAAAGAUGGGCAGCUACAACAGGAAGGAGGAGAAACAAAAGUAUUUUACUGGGUUCAAGCUUUGCAGAUGGUGAGAACAAGAAGCAAAAGUCAUGCUCACAGUUAAAGCUAAUGAAAUUCUGCAAUCCCCAUGGGAAACUCAGAAACACAGGCAUGGAACGCAGAACUGCUUCUUGAUUUCAUUUAUUUUGUGAUACUUUGGUUACAUGUUCAAAUGCAACACAUGGAUGGAGUGCAGGGACUGACUUUCCUCAGGUGCUGCUGGAAACAUCCCAUUUUUGGUUCAUAGCACUUGCAGUGGUGUGUCUUAAGGCAGAGAGGUAAGGAAGGAGAGCACCUCUAACACAGAGAGAGGCAUGAGCAUCCCAAUUUAGACACUGUCCAUCUGCCCCAAUCCAGUUUUUGAUAAUUGUUAAUAACAUUGCAAGAGCAUCUCUUUGUAUCUUCUUCAUAGGCAUCCAUAGCCCUCCAUUAGCAAGAUAAGAUUAAACAACAGCCACUUCUAUCUUUAUGUGGUAAAACAAGCUUCUGUAUUUAAGAUAAACUUUACAGGACAGGUGGCUUCCUAGAAUGGAAUAUCCCCAAGAAAACAUUUAACUACCCUACAUAAAUGUCAACAAGGUAUGAGAAGAGUGCACCUAAUAAAGGAGAUAGAGGCUACAAUAAAAAGGGGCCCUAAAUCAAAGAGCAGGUUCACACCAGCAAACACUCACUCACACACUGGGCUGAUUGGAACAGGGCCCUCAGCAUUGCUGCCAGCCCAGCAGCUCUCCUGGUGUGGCUUUCCCUGCCUUUGCUUGGAGGUUUGACCCACACCAUCACCUUGCUGGGGUUGUGGCCGGGACUGCAUCCACAAAACUGCCCAUGCGGGUUCUGGAUUGGGAGCUCGGUGUGCACUCCUACCUUUAUCGGCCCUUAAAAAAAAAAAAAAACGGAAAAAAAAAAAGGGGGGGGGAACGCAGAGCAAACAUUAUCUAUUGUUAAUUACCUGUAAAGUAGGGCUUUUGCCACUUCCCCAGUUUCUAAGAGCUCUGAAGUGAAACCUGAAAGAAGCCACCCAUUGUUUCCAAUUGUGCAAGAGCCAGGAGCAAAUAGGGCUCAAAUUGCAGCUCUGAAAGGCAGCAGGAAAUUGGCAGCCCGGUAAUCUGCUCCCCACCAUUCAGGGGAACAAAGGCGACAUUCCUCCUCAAGUAGUCACCAUUAGAAACCCAAGGCUGAUCUAUUUAGUAAGGCCCACAGAAUAAAUCUGUGGAAAUAAAGAGUUUUAAUUAGAAGGCCAUAGGAUAUGGCUCUGGUUUCCAGCCCUGCAAGUAACAUGUAUUAUUUAGGCUCUUACCUCGUUUCCCACAUAUCCAGACGCUGACACCCAGACAUCAGCACCGCUGCCAUUGAAAAAAAAAACCUCCAAAAACUAAUAAAUGUGUAAACUGUUCAUUACAGGUGGAUCAUACCAUACAGUGUGCUGUACCAAGAACGUUUCCAAUUGGUCCCUGUCUUGGGAUUAUAUAUUUUCCCCCUAGAGUAUUAACAAUCCUUCUAACCCACCACACCCUCCCCAUCUAUGGCAUGUUUUAAAUAUUCUCCAGAAAGUGCUAGUUUCCAGAAGGAUGGGGUUUCUCCCUCCCUCCCAUCCAUCCAUCCAUCCAUCCAUCCAUCCAUCCAUCCAUCCAUCCAUCCAUCCCUCUGCACAGAAUGACUCAGUAAUUAAACACUGCUGGUCAAAGGCUCCUGGUUGUGCCAGUGCCUCAGAGUGUGGCUCCAGCCCUCCAGCCCAAGUUUUCCCAGCAGCCAAAGAGAAGCGUUUCCUUCGGAGCUGUUCUGUCAGGCACAGUUCAUUUAAGAGAAUUUAAGUCCAAGUGCAAAAUGCUCUGAGACACCUCGCAAUUUUUGCCACCUGAACAGGUAAAGUUGUCCCAACCCCAGUGUGUUAGAACUGCCAGGAGGGAGAGCAGAUGAGGUUAACUUUUCCAGGGGAUUUACCUGCACCUGGCAGCAGUGCUGGAUAACUCUGGGACUACCAUGGCAAGUGCUUCUGCUCCAGUACAGGGCAAGGGAUGGAAAGUGAGGAUACAAGAACACAGGCCCUAGAACUCCGGGUUUGAAAGCCCAUACAAAAAUCUCUGUGGAGACUCCAGAAUGGCACCUUCCAUUGCUACCCCUUGCUCCAGAGAGACCCCUUGGCUAUUCAACACAGCAGAACAGGUGCAUUUUCAGUUCUAACAGUGUUUCCUCACAUACUCUUGGCAGAUCAGUAAAUUCAAGCCCAAGUACAGCCAAAGUUUGGCAAAGUUCAUACCUAGAGUUGAAUUUCAGAACAGAACAACUUCAUGACAUCCAGCUAUCCUGUAUUUCCUGCCCUGACUAACUGGGUUUAUCCUCACCUUGAAUUGGAUGAGAUACAGCACAUGUAAAAAUGUAUUAAAUCAAAAAGUGUCUUAGUGACAGCACAGGUGCUCCUGUAGUCAUAGCACAUUUCAUCCAGAAAAGCUUUGCAUGCCAUCUAGAAAAAUGGACAGUUAUUCCCUAAAAGGAAGGGGUCAGGUAAAUGAGACUGGAUUUAGGUAAGACUUUGGUAUAAAAAGAAGGUACUGUGCAAUCUCCCAGUACCCAGGUUAGAGAAAAGCUCCAGCACUUCCCCUUCCUUUCAGGCAAUUAGUUUAUAAAUUUUUAUCUGCAAGUGUGCUACUCCUAAAGUGCACAGAUCCAAAAACAACAAAUCAGACAUCACACAAGAAACAAAGCUUUGGAGAGAACCUUCACCAGGUCACGUAAAUUCAUCUCUUCCUCCUGCUUGGAGUAUGGAAGAGGAAUCCUCACAGCACUGCAAGAACUCUCAGGCAGUUUGGAAAUUGAAGUGUGUGCCAGAGAACAGGAGGUUUCAUUUAAAACAGCCAUGGAGUGGUUAAUCAGUUAUGUAAUACCAGCCUAUUUAGGGAGCUCCAGCUCCUUCUCACAGUCACUUUAUCCCACAAACUAAGGACAUCCUAACAUUUAUGAGCACUGGCCAUUCCUGUCACCCAGCCAGCUCAUUCACUGGUGUAAAUCCAUCAGCUCCAUUCAGAAGAAAUAUUCCAUGGAAUAAACCCGCUCAUACUCCGGCAGCGACCCUGCGGGGUCAGGCAGGAUGUCCCAUUGUGCUCCUUCUUGCACAAACACAAUGGGGUUCAGCCCCUGGGGGCAGAGCCUCUGUCAGGCUGUUUGUGCCUCCUGACAUCGUGUUCUGCAGGAUGUUUGUUUUCAGGUCGGGGCACCGAAGGUGUAGACAAAGCUUCACAAAACAGGGCCGUGCUUACAAGGCCAGAGCCACGGCUAUCAGGCACACCUUUCUCCAAGGACUGUACCAAAAGGAUGUUUCUCUGCUCCAAUAAAGAGCUACCACACUUUCAAGCUAAUUUUGGAAUAUGUACUUCUCCUGGAAGCACACUCUGUCUCUUAUAAUGCUGCCCCAUGCAUGUAUCAGGAAUACUGAGAAAUCCUGGUGAAUUUCUGGUUCUUUUCUGAUGCUAAAAUCAAAUGUUAUUUAUUAAGACUCUUGUCUCAUCCAUACAUACUUAAACUGAAAAGCCAAGCCAUGUGUGGUUUGCAGGGAAACUUUCCCCAAUUUGUAUUUAUUGGUCAGUAAAUGAGGCAGUAUCUCAAGACACCUUCAGCAAGGAGGGGUGGGAAUGGCAGCUCCUGGGAAAACCAACUGCACUGCAUCCAUUUAUCACAAAUACAAACUGAGGGGUAAAUGCCACUCUGGAGAUCACACAGUUUUUGAGCAGAUCCUUCCAGUGAGCAGAAAGCUCCUUACCACGGGCUCCCCAUGGCUGGGUACCUAAUGCCAAGGGGAGAAGCCAUGCCUUGGCUCCUCCCACUAGCCAGAGGAAGGCGAAACACAGCCACAGGGAAGAACUACAAAUGAUUAAGAACUGCCCCAAAAGCAAACCGCCCUCCAAAUGCAGGGUCAUCAGAACAAGAGCUGUGCAGCCCCAUGUGCUGUGUAAGAAGGCUGGUAAAUCCAGCUGUGUGAGAGCAGAACAGAAUUUAUUCCAGGUUUUUUGAAGCACUACCAUAUGACUGACACAAAUGCUGCAGCUGGAAGAAAGCCAACAAUUAAUCAGGAUUCCUUAGAAUUUGGAGGCAAUUUUAGCAGAACAAGAAAUGCAGAAGUAUCAGUGAAUCCUGAAGAAGAUUUUUCCUCCAGGACAAAAAUCUAUUACUUCAUAUAAGUCCAUUAAAACACUUCAUCUAGCCCCUUUAAUCCCUUUUAACAGAUUUGCUUUAUCACAGACAGAGGAGCUAAUCCUCUCCUACCUGUCUUUAUGAUAUGGAACCAUAAA
Long non-coding RNA from Cyanistes caeruleus (blue tit), 6385 nucleotides. RefSeq lists it as uncharacterized. Lineage: Eukaryota; Metazoa; Chordata; Aves; Passeriformes; Paridae. The record is from RefSeq and is a predicted model, not a curated record.